This 254-nucleotide ribosomal RNA is filed under the name uncultured bacterium. Its description in RNAcentral is "partial 16S ribosomal RNA". It matches the Rfam family "Bacterial small subunit ribosomal RNA", at positions 333 to 583 of the family's 1533-position model. The record is from RNAcentral.
GGAGGCCUACGGGACGCAGCAGUGAGGAAUAUUGGUCAAUGGGCGGAAGCCUGAACCAGCCAAGUCGCGUGAGGGAAUAAGGCCCUACGGGUCGUAAACCUCUUUCGCCGGGGAGCAAGGGCGGGGACGUGUCCCGGCCCGGAGAGUACCCGGAGAAAAAGCAUCGGCUAACUCCGUGCCAGCAGCCGCGGUAAUACGGAGGAUGCGAGCGUUAUCCGGAUUUAUUGGGUUUAAAGGGUGCGUAGGCGGGCUUU